GAAAGAGCGAGAGGGAGGACAUAUAAUCAGGCUCUAACCAGAACAGCAUCUCAGUGUCUAACCACUGAAUCCCUGUAAUGCAGCAUAACUGAUGAUCUAAUGCACUGGAGGCACCAUGGCUGCAGGAUUUAGGCCAAUGAUCUGUGUGCUGUUGCUGCUGUCUUGUUGUCAACUGACCAUGGCCAAAGAAGGAAAAUCCACAAAGAAGGGAAAGAAAGGCAAGCAAGUUGUCUGUCCAUCCCAGUUGUCCCCAGAAGAUUUGGCCCAGGUUCCAGCUAACUCUACCUCCAACAUCUUGAACCGACUGAUGGUCAGUUACGAUCCAAGAAUAAGGCCUAACUUUCAAGGUAUCCCAGUUGAGUCCAGGGUCAACAUCUUCAUUAAUAGCUUUGGGUCCAUCCAGGAGACCACUAUGGACUACAGAGUGAACAUAUUUCUUCGUCAGAGAUGGAAUGACCCACGCUUAAGACUUCCUACUGACUUCAAGAGUGAUGCACUGACUGUUGACCCAAACAUGUUCCAGUGUUUGUGGAAACCAGACCUUUUCUUUGCCAAUGAGAAGAACGCCAAUUUCCAUGAUGUUACACAGGACAACAUUCUGCUCUUCAUCUUCAGGAAUGGAGAUGUCUUGAUCAGUAUGAGGCUUUCAGUGACGCUGUCUUGCCCCUUGGAUCUUACACUCUUCCCAAUGGACACUCAGCUAUGUAAGAUGCAACUGGAGAGCUUUGGCUAUACCACCAGUGAUCUUGUGUUCAUGUGGCAGUCUGACCCCGUUCAGAUGGAUGAGAUUGCUCUCCCUCAGUUCGACAUCAAACAAGAGGACAUAAAAUAUGGAAACUGCACAAAGUACUACCAAGGAACAGGAUACUACACCUGUGUGGAAGUGAUUUUUACAUUGCGUCGGCAAGUUGGUUUCUACAUGAUGGGGGUUUACGCUCCAACUCUGUUGAUUGUUGUAUUAUCCUGGUUAUCAUUCUGGAUCAACCCUGAUGCAUCAGCUGCAAGAGUGCCUCUGGUGCACAGCAGGAAGGCAACAUUGGACCCACUACUUUCCCCAGCUUUGCAGCAGUUAAGGAACCAUCUGCACUUUUUUCUUCAAAAACUGGUAACAUUUAAAUGGGACUAGUUAGAUCACAACAUAGUGUAACACCACCAAGCGCAGGACUGUUUAACUUUGGUUAGUGUUAAGCACGUGUUGAAUGUUUUUGGUCUAUUCAUGGGUGAGUGUCUGUGUGAUCUCUGCAUAUUGAGUUAUAAGUAGUUUGAUGUAAGUUAACAUACAGACUCAGGGUUUGCAUUGCAACUAACCACCAUCCUAACCCUUAUCUGGCACCAUGUCUCACACACACUCAUUCUUUAGCCUAGCAUAUCACACGAACAUGUGAUCUCAAUGAGCACAUGGUGUGAGCACCAACAUUGUUUCUUGUUUAUCUCUGCUAUUAAAGAAACAUGGGGUCAGCUGCCAUCUUGCCACGCCUCAUAAGCAAAGUUCUAGUUCCACUUGGUCAACCAUUUUUUGGGGAGUUUCAUUAGUACAUGAUAUGCGGCAUGGUCAUUGUGAGUCUUAGCCAUUUUGUUUGUUUUUUCCCGACACACACACACAAAUACUUCCAUACACAUCUGUAUAAAGUACACCUUUAUGAUGAAUAAAAUUGUGAUCAUAGUUAUUGAGUUAAUUAGUGAGUUAAUUAGGACAUUUGAAAGCUGGGGUUGGUAGGUGUAGAGAAGCAUUUUUUAUUAUAUUUCUAUAAAACCUAUAAAAACAUCCAGCCAACAAUCAAAAUAUAAAAUGGAUAGCUCAAUAGGUGAAACAAGAGUCAACAUUGGACUGGCUGUUCAGCGAUGGAGACAACUGAUGGAGUCGAAGGCCUGAAAACUCUGUGGUAGCGGUGUCUCUGUUGGACAGGUAAUGUCCGGGUUUGUUUCGGUUGGGGAAAUGCAUUAUUACUAGCAUUAUGCAUUAUGUAGUCAAUGUAGCUAACCGUAACUCCUAAUGUUGCUGUCAUAUGUAUUAGCCCAAUUCUACUUUUGUUAGCAUUGUCAGCUUGCAGCUAGCCACCUUUGGCCAGGUCAAUGUUUACAUGUACUAUGGAUCUAAGCCAUAUAACAGUGUUUACACAUGCACUGCUACCCUGGGCUGUUAGGACCAGCUGUGACCAGAUGUGAGGUGGACUGAUUAUUGCAUGCUACACAUGUGAAAGGCCAAGUCCACUGUUCAGAGGUCACAGGAUGAUUGCAUAUAUCUUUGAAUAUAGUUUUUAUUGUAUUUUUAGCAGAUGUUGUUAGAUGGUAUUUAUGUGGUGUUCAUUCAUAUGGACUUUGAACUGGACAUUUUACAAAUGUGCUGAUGUAGCCUAUUUCUGUGUUCUGUAGUUAUGAGAGGAUCGCAUCAGCUUCCAGCCCCUCAAAACAUAAGUUCAUGGCAGAACCGUGCCCUAAAGUUUCCACAGAGUCUGUCUCUAAUAGGACAGUCACUGCCAAAGCAGUACAGGAUUGAGACAGCACCAACAUCAGCAGCCUAACCUGUCGGCCAACACUGAUAUGUUUUUAGAAUCAGUCAAGAAACCUCUGGACGUCCUUCCUGUAUCUAGUUGUUUAUGCU
Acanthopagrus latus (yellowfin seabream) is the source of this 2602-nucleotide RNA transcript. It is a transcript of the gene named glycine receptor subunit beta-like, with no coding region annotated. The transcript has 10 exons. The record is from RefSeq and is a predicted model, not a curated record. NCBI's taxonomy places the organism in Eukaryota, Metazoa, Chordata, Actinopteri, Spariformes, Sparidae.